ACUCAAAUGAAUUGACGGGGGCCCGCACAAGCAGCGGAGCGUGUGGUUUAAUUCGAGGCUACGCGAAGAACCUUACCUGGGUUUGACAUGCAAGUGGUAGGGAAGCGAAAGCGGACCGACCUUCGGGAGCUUGCACAGGUGCUGCAUGGCUGUCGUCAGCUCGUGUCGUGAGAUGUUCGGUUAAGUCCGAAAACGAGCGCAACCCCCGGGUCUAGUUACACGUGUCUAGACCGACUGCCGGCGACAAGCCGGAGGAAGGUGGGGAUGACGUCAAGUCAGCAUGGCCUUUAUGCCCAGGGCGACACACACGCUACAAUGGCUGGUACAAUGGGUCGCGAAGCCGCGAGGCGGAGCCAAUCUAAGAAAGCCAGUCGUAGUUCGGAUUGCAGGCUGCAACCCGCCUGCAUGAAGUCGGAGUUGCUAGUAAACGCCGGUCAGCCACACGGCGUUGAAUACGUUCCCGGGCCUUGUACACACCGCCCGU
Molecule: ribosomal RNA, 484 nt
Filed under: uncultured bacterium
Lineage: Bacteria
Description: partial 16S ribosomal RNA
Rfam family: Bacterial small subunit ribosomal RNA
Source: RNAcentral